This 445-nucleotide ribosomal RNA is filed under the name uncultured bacterium. RNAcentral's name for it is "partial 16S ribosomal RNA". It matches the Rfam family "Bacterial small subunit ribosomal RNA", at positions 354 to 796 of the family's 1533-position model. The record is from RNAcentral.
GUAAGGAAUAUUGGGCAAUGGGCGCAAGCCUGACCCAGCCAUGCCGCGUGAAGGAUGACGGCCCUAUGGGUUGUAAACUUCUUUUGUACGGGAAAAAACCACCGGUCGUGACCGGUGCUGAUGGUACCGUAAGAAUAAGCAUCGGCUAACUCCGUGCCAGCAGCCGCGGUAAUACGGAGGAUGCAAGCGUUAUCCGGAUUCAUUGGGUUUAAAGGGUGCGCAGGCGGAAUAAUAAGUCAGUGGUGAAAUCCUACGGCUCAACUGUAGAACUGCCAUUGAUACUGUUAUUCUUGAGUACACUUGAAGUGGGCGGAAUGUGUCAUGUAGCGGUGAAAUGCUUAGAUAUGACACAGAACACCGAUCGCGAAGGCAGCUCACUAAAUUGUAACUGACGCUCAUGCACGAAAGCGUGGGGAUCAAACAGGAUUAGAAACCCUUGUAGUCC